Molecule: ribosomal RNA, 466 nt
Filed under: uncultured beta proteobacterium
Lineage: Bacteria; Pseudomonadati; Pseudomonadota; Betaproteobacteria
Description: bacterial SSU rRNA
Rfam family: Bacterial small subunit ribosomal RNA
Source: RNAcentral
GUAACAGGCCGCAAGGUGCUGACGAGUGGCGAACGGGUGAGUAAUGCAUCGGAACGUGCCCAGUCGUGGGGGAUAACGCAGCGAAAGCUGUGCUAAUACCGCAUACGAUCUAUGGAUGAAAGCGGGGGACCGUAAGGCCUCGCGCGAUUGGAGCGGCCGAUAUCAGAUUAGCUAGUUGGUGAGGUAAAGGCUCACCAAGGCGACGAUCUGUAGCGGGUCUGAGAGGAUGAUCCGCCACACUGGAACUGAGACACGGUCCAGACUCCUACGGGAGGCAGCAGUGGGGAAUUUUGGACAAUGGGGGCAACCCUGAUCCAGCCAUGCCGCGUGAGUGAAGAAGGCCUUCGGGUUGUAAAGCUCUUUCGGCCGGGAAGAAAUCGCAUGGGUUAAUACCCUGUGCGGAUGACGGUACCGGCAUAAGAAGCACCGGCUAACUACGUGCCAGCAGCCGCGGUAAUACGUAGGG